GACGAACGCUGGCGGCGUGCUUAACACAUGCAAGUCGAACGGAAAGGCCCUGCUUUUGUGGGGUGCUCGAGUGGCGAACGGGUGAGUAACACGUGAGUAACCUGCCCUUGACUUUGGGAUAACUUCAGGAAACUGGGGCUAAUACCGGAUAGGAGCUCCUGCUGCAUGGUGGGGGUUGGAAAGUUUCGGCGGUUGGGGAUGGACUCGCGGCUUAUCAGCUUGUUGGUGGGGUAGUGGCUUACCAAGGCUUUGACGGGUAGCCGGCCUGAGAGGGUGACCGGCCACAUUGGGACUGAGAUACGGCCCAGACUCCUACGGGAGGCAGCAGUGGGGAAUAUUGCACAAUGGGCGGAAGCCUGAUGCAGCAACGCCGCGUGCGGGAUGACGGCCUUCGGGUCGUAAACCGCUUUCGCCUGUGACGAAGCGUGAGUGACGGUAAUGGGUAAAGAAGCACCGGCUAACUACGU
This 467-nucleotide ribosomal RNA is filed under the name uncultured bacterium. RNAcentral describes it as "partial 16S ribosomal RNA". It matches the Rfam family "Bacterial small subunit ribosomal RNA", at positions 28 to 506 of the family's 1533-position model. The record is from RNAcentral.